This 251-nucleotide ribosomal RNA is filed under the name uncultured Fusobacteriales bacterium. RNAcentral's name for it is "partial 16S ribosomal RNA". It matches the Rfam family "Bacterial small subunit ribosomal RNA", at positions 86 to 339 of the family's 1533-position model. The record is from RNAcentral. Lineage: Bacteria; Fusobacteriati; Fusobacteriota; Fusobacteriia; Fusobacteriales.
AAUGGAGCCAUGGCGGACGGGUGAGUAACGCGUAAAGAACUUGCCUUAUGGACUGGGAUAACAGUUGGAAACGACUGAUAAGACUGGAUAUAAUUAUAUAUUUGCAUGAAUGUAUAAUGAAAAGAGAUGCCAUAAGAGAGCUUUGCGUCCUAUUAGCUAGUUGGUGAGGUAAAGGCUCACCAAGGCGAUGAUAGGUAGCCGGCCUGAGAGGGUGAACGGCCACAAGGGGACUGAGAUACGGCCCUUACUCU